Molecule: ribosomal RNA, 497 nt
Filed under: uncultured bacterium
Lineage: Bacteria
Description: partial 16S ribosomal RNA
Rfam family: Bacterial small subunit ribosomal RNA
Source: RNAcentral
GACGAACGCUGGCGGCGUGCCUAAUACAUGCAAGUUGAGCGAUGAAGAUUGGUGCUUGCACCAAUUUGAAGAGCAGCGAACGGGUGAUUAACGCGUGGGGAAUCUGCCUUUGAGCGGGGGACAACAUUUGGAAACGAAUGCUAAUACCGCAUAAUAACUUUAAACAUAAGUUUUAAGUUUGAAAGAUGCAAUUGCAUCACUCAAAGAUGAUCCCGCGUUGUAUUAGCUAGUUGGUGAGGUAAAGGCUCACCAAGGCGAUGAUACAUAGCCGACCUGAGAGGGUGAUCGGCCACAUUGGGACUGAGACACGGCCCAAACUCCUACGGGAGGCAGCAGUAGGGAAUCUUCGGCAAUGGACGAAAGUCUGACCGAGCAACGCCGCGUGAGUGAAGAAGGGUUUCGGAUCGUAAAACCCUGUUGGUAGAGAAGAACGUUGGUGAGAGUGGAAAGCUCAUCAAGUGACGGUAACUACCCAGAAAGGGACGGCUAACUACGUG